UAGGUAAUCUUCCGCAAUGGGCGAAAGCCUGACGGAGCAACGCCGCGUGAGUGAUGAAGGUCUUCGGAUCGUAAAACUCUGUUAUUAGGGAAGAACAAAUGUGUAAGUAACUAUGCACGUCUUGACGGUACUUAAUCAGAAAGCCACGGCUAACUACGUGCCAGCAGCUGCGGUAAUACGUAGGUGGCAAGCGUUAUCCGGAAUUAUUGGGCGUAAAGCGCGCGUAGGCGGUUUUUUAAGUCUGAUGUGAAAGCCCACGGCUCAACCGUGGAGGGUCAUCGGACACUGUAGAACUUGUGUGCAGAAGAGGAGAGUAGAAUUCCAUGUGUAGCGGUGAAAUGCGCAGAGCUAUGGAGGAAGAACAGUAGCGGAGGCGACUUUCUGGUCUGUAACUGCCGCUGAUGUGCGAAAGCGUGGGGUUCAAACAGG
This 429-nucleotide ribosomal RNA is filed under the name Actinomycetes bacterium. RNAcentral's name for it is "Actinobacteria bacterium partial 16S ribosomal RNA". It matches the Rfam family "Bacterial small subunit ribosomal RNA", at positions 355 to 776 of the family's 1533-position model. The record is from RNAcentral. Lineage: Bacteria; Bacillati; Actinomycetota; Actinomycetes.